UGAAAUUUGGAGGGUAUGUACAUCUUACUGAGGCUCUUCUAAUAAAAAUAUAAAAAACAUUAUCCACGAAAAGAAAAUUGACCAAAAUACCCCAUAAACGUUUUGGGGGUAUUUUGGUCUAAGUUUUUUCUUGUAAAAUAUUUUUUUUAUAAUUUUCGAAGAUUCCCCUAUAUUUGAUAAAUAUACGCUCCAAAUUUCAGUUCAUUAUGAUUAGUAGAAAAAAACUUAAAAAGAAAACAUUACCGGAUAAUCGUGAUCGCGUGAUGAAUUUUAGACGGUGAUGGGGAUAGGCGAAAUCACUGUUCAUUUUCGCUUAUCGGCGUUGCGUAGUAUUUUCGAUAUAUAGAAUUGAGGCUCUAAACAAUGAAAUUAGAGCACACAUCAAAUAUUUCACUAGAAGAUGUUUUGAUGGCCAAAUAUACUCAAAUUGACUAUCUCGACAUCAGAUACAUAGACAUGAGAAAAAAAUGGAUUUCAAGUUUUGAAAAUAGCUCACCUUGUAAUGCAUUUUUGGACCGUCAAUUUUCAAGUUUUCAUAGAUCUGCUCGAUCUAUAUUCUUUUUUAAGCUUUAAAUUUUAUAAUUAAAGAUGAAAACAUAUUUUAAAGACAAAAAUUUCCAAUAUUGAAACCGCCAUUCUAGACAUUAUUUAAAUGUUCGCUC
This 662-nucleotide long non-coding RNA is filed under the name Amborella trichopoda. RNAcentral's name for it is "long non-coding RNA (ATRI_LNC001030)". Lineage: Eukaryota; Viridiplantae; Streptophyta; Magnoliopsida; Amborellales; Amborellaceae. The record is from RNAcentral.